Molecule: small nucleolar RNA, 131 nt
Filed under: Castor canadensis (American beaver)
Lineage: Eukaryota; Metazoa; Chordata; Mammalia; Rodentia; Castoridae
Description: U8 small nucleolar RNA (ENSCCNG00000011559.1)
Rfam family: U8 small nucleolar RNA
About the family: U8 is a member of the C/D class of snoRNA which contain the C (UGAUGA) and D (CUGA) box motifs. U8 is the RNA component of a small complex (the U8 snoRNP) which is required for accumulation of mature large subunit ribosomal RNAs, 5.8S and 28S rRNAs.
Source: Rfam by way of RNAcentral
AUCUCAGGUGGGAUAAUCUUUACCUGUUCCUCCUUUUGGAGGCAGAUAGAACAUGAUGAUUGGAGUUCGCAUGAAACAUGAUUAGCGUCUGCUAACCAGGACUUACAACACCCUGGUUGCUCCUAUCUGAU